Vulpes vulpes (red fox) is the source of this 1573-nucleotide long non-coding RNA. The record is from Ensembl. NCBI's taxonomy places the organism in Eukaryota, Metazoa, Chordata, Mammalia, Carnivora, Canidae.
ACUUUUUUAAACUCCCCCAGACUGGGCAUCAUCUUCAGACUCUUCAUCCCCUGAUUUCUUAGGUGGAGAGUCUGCAGAGGUUUUCUUUCUGGAGGGUUUUCUGGUUCCUCCUCUUCUUCUUUGGGAGGAUGAGUCUUUUCCUUUGAUGCCUCUGAAGCUGUGAGAUGACCUACUUUCCGUUUGCCUGUCACAAGGCCUAGUGUCCCUGCAGCCUUUAGUCUUGGUUUGGGCAUUUUCUUUUCUUUUUUCUCAGGUUUGGGCUUCUUUUUUUUUUUUUUUUUUUCUUUUUUAGGUUUGGACUUCUUAACCAUCUUUUUGUUUUCCUUUUUCAAGCUGCCAUAGUCAGUGCCAUAAUCAUCUUCCAUUAGGAAAUCAUAAUUGCUGCUAGAAUCUUUCUCCUGGAAUUGUGCCCCAUCCUCCUCUUGUUCUUCACUGCCCACAUCUUCCAUGAGCAUCUCUCUCUGUUUGGAAGCUGCUUUAGAGGCUGCCUGCCCUUUCUUGCACACAUUCUUAUGGGCUUCUUUUUCAUCAUCCCUGGCCUCUGCUGAGUGAGAAUCAUCCUUGGUCUUCACAUCUUUUUAUUCUGAGUCUUCACUAUCCUCCUGUGAAUUCUUUCCUAUCACCUCUUAUUUUUAGCUUCUCCAGGAAAUGACUGAAUUUUCUUAGCUGUAAGGCCUAAAUCUCUUCCAUAAACCUUCUCAGUAUCAUUAAAUCCCUGGCACCAAAUAAUCAAUGACCUUUCUAUUUCUCACAGGCAGAGACAUUUUCUCUGUUGAAACAGGAUUGAGUCAAGAAGCCAAAGACCAGGCCUGUCACCCACCCCUACACGCAGUCAGCACAUCGCCUUUCAACUUUGGUCCAUGGAGCUGCUGCUGCCAAACCCCAACCUGCUGGCUUCUCAAAUUCUGCCACUUCUUGGAUCAGGGCCCCUUAAUCAGCCUCCAGGGACACCAUAUUGUCUCCUUGAGGCAAGACCCAGAAAUGGACAAGAACUCCUUUCCCAUCUUGCUGCUUUCUUAACAAAGAAAAGGCAUCAUUUCAAGGCUGAGAAUGAGGUUCCAAGGUUGAAGAGUCAAAUAUUGGUUCUCUGUGGGUACAUGAAAUGAGUUUUUCUUCCCUACCCUGUCUUUUCGUUAUGUCUGUAUCAGUGUCCUGUUGCAGAGAAAAGAAUCUACUCUAGUCAAUAUAACCAGAAGGGAUUUACUUGAGAAUGUUAAAUGCCACACAAGAUCAUUAGGAGUGUUGAAGACCCUGACUCUUGAUGAGGUUUUCAGGAAUCAUUCAGAAAGCUACACUGCAGAACUGGGCUGUCCUUGCCACUGUCCAGAAGCUGUAAGAGCAGGAAACUGCAUAUGACAUCAAGAGGAUNUUAAGGGAGCUGCUGUCCCUGCCACUGUCCAGAAGCUGUAAGAGCAGGAAACUGCAUAUGACAUCAAGAGGAUGAUGCUACAACAUCUGCCAGCUCCAGGGCGACACUACAUCUGCCAAUAGCUGCACCAGUAAAAUGGACUUCUGGUAUCCUGAUUCCCUAGCCAUAUGACUUAGUUUGAAAUAAAAAUUUUGUCCUAGUUCA